CAGGAGGGCACCUCGCUUUCCCCUCUGGAAGCAGCAGAGCGGUUGGGAGCCCUGUUGCUGCCUGUGGCUGCGUGGUGACCAUUCUUGAAACGUCUCCAAAUUUUUGUCUGUUGUGCUAAUGUCCCAGUCCUUUUUCAUACAGAGGGUUUUGACCUUGGAGAAAUCCAGAAGAAAUCAAUGGAAAAUGGAAGCUGUCAGUCUCCGUACCUCCAGCAGGAGCUUCUCUGUACAUCCCAUAUGCAUAUUUCUUGGAUGGGAAGGGUGUCGAUUUCUCUUGUAGUCAAACCAGUGACUGAUUCAUCACUAAACUAUCUCUUCCUGUAAUUCCCUGCUACUUCAUUCAGCUGAUUGUAUCUUAGGGAGCAGAGAUAAGUGCCGGAGCAAUACAAAGAGAGCUGGCUGAUAAAUUAAGCUUCAGGUGAAAAAUAGAUGUCAUUUAUUAUUUGUAUCCUUCUGAGGGUUAUCCAUAGGAACACUGGUGAUACAUGAGAACCCUAUUUUGGUAGAUGCAGUACAAACUCAGACACUGUUAUUUCAGAGCAAAAGGAGGAUUCUUGCC
RNAcentral lists this long non-coding RNA (559 nucleotides) under Gallus gallus (chicken). RNAcentral's name for it is "long non-coding RNA NONGGAT007853". The record is from RNAcentral. Lineage: Eukaryota; Metazoa; Chordata; Aves; Galliformes; Phasianidae.